UCCGAAUUGGUGUAGUGGCCAACAUUUGACGCUCUCAAGAAGGUGCCGUCAAGCCCGGGGUUCGAUUCCCCGAUUCGGAG
This 80-nucleotide transfer RNA is filed under the name Xylariaceae sp. FL1651. Its description in RNAcentral is "tRNA-Glu". It matches the Rfam family "tRNA". From Rfam's summary of the family: Transfer RNA (tRNA) molecules are approximately 80 nucleotides in length. Their secondary structure includes four short double-helical elements and three loops (D, anti-codon, and T loops). The record is from RNAcentral. Lineage: Eukaryota; Fungi; Ascomycota; Sordariomycetes; Xylariales; Xylariaceae.